GGGGAUAUAGCUCAGCUGGGAGAGCACCUGCCUUGCACGCAGGGGGUCAGGGGUUCGAAUCCCCUUAUCUCCACCA
RNAcentral lists this transfer RNA (76 nucleotides) under Clostridium tepidiprofundi DSM 19306. Its description in RNAcentral is "tRNA-Ala". It matches the Rfam family "tRNA". Rfam says of the family: Transfer RNA (tRNA) molecules are approximately 80 nucleotides in length. Their secondary structure includes four short double-helical elements and three loops (D, anti-codon, and T loops). Lineage: Bacteria; Bacillati; Bacillota; Clostridia; Eubacteriales; Clostridiaceae. The record is from RNAcentral.